Molecule: ribosomal RNA, 1063 nt
Filed under: Bacillus amyloliquefaciens
Lineage: Bacteria; Bacillati; Bacillota; Bacilli; Caryophanales; Bacillaceae
Description: bacterial SSU rRNA
Rfam family: Bacterial small subunit ribosomal RNA
Source: RNAcentral
UGGGGUGCUAUAAUGCAAGUCGAGCGGACAGAUGGGAGCUUGCUCCCUGAUGUUAGCGGCGGACGGGUGAGUAACACGUGGGUAACCUGCCUGUAAGACUGGGAUAACUCCGGGAAACCGGGGCUAAUACCGGAUGGUUGUCUGAACCGCAUGGUUCAGACAUAAAAGGUGGCUUCGGCUACCACUUACAGAUGGACCCGCGGCGCAUUAGCUAGUUGGUGAGGUAACGGCUCACCAAGGCGACGAUGCGUAGCCGACCUGAGAGGGUGAUCGGCCACACUGGGACUGAGACACGGCCCAGACUCCUACGGGAGGCAGCAGUAGGGAAUCUUCCGCAAUGGACGAAAGUCUGACGGAGCAACGCCGCGUGAGUGAUGAAGGUUUUCGGAUCGUAAAGCUCUGUUGUUAGGGAAGAACAAGUGCCGUUCAAAUAGGGCGGCACCUUGACGGUACCUAACCAGAAAGCCACGGCUAACUACGUGCCAGCAGCCGCGGUAAUACGUAGGUGGCAAGCGUUGUCCGGAAUUAUUGGGCGUAAAGGGCUCGCAGGCGGUUUCUUAAGUCUGAUGUGAAAGCCCCCGGCUCAACCGGGGAGGGUCAUUGGAAACUGGGGAACUUGAGUGCAGAAGAGGAGAGUGGAAUUCCACGUGUAGCGGUGAAAUGCGUAGAGAUGUGGAGGAACACCAGUGGCGAAGGCGACUCUCUGGUCUGUAACUGACGCUGAGGAGCGAAAGCGUGGGGAGCGAACAGGAUUAGAUACCCUGGUAGUCCACGCCGUAAACGAUGAGUGCUAAGUGUUAGGGGGUUUCCGCCCCUUAGUGCUGCAGCUAACGCAUUAAGCACUCCGCCUGGGGAGUACGGUCGCAAGACUGAAACUCAAAGGAAUUGACGGGGGCCCGCACAAGCGGUGGAGCAUGUGGUUUAAUUCGAAGCAACGCGAGAACCUUACCAGGUCUUGACAUCCUCUGACAUCCUAGAGAUAGGACGUCCCCUUCGGGGGCAGAGUGACAGGUGGUGCAUGGGUGUCGUCAGCCUCGUGUCGUGAGAAUGUUGGGGUUAGGUC